GGAGAUUUAGCUCAGUGGUACUGCAUCUGCCUCAAAAGCACAAGGUCCCGAGUUCAAUCCCCGGCACCCCCC
This 72-nucleotide transfer RNA is filed under the name Heterocephalus glaber (naked mole-rat). It matches the Rfam family "tRNA". From Rfam's summary of the family: Transfer RNA (tRNA) molecules are approximately 80 nucleotides in length. Their secondary structure includes four short double-helical elements and three loops (D, anti-codon, and T loops). The record is from Rfam by way of RNAcentral. Lineage: Eukaryota; Metazoa; Chordata; Mammalia; Rodentia; Bathyergidae.